This 158-nucleotide ribosomal RNA is filed under the name uncultured Bacillus sp. Its description in RNAcentral is "partial 16S ribosomal RNA". It matches the Rfam family "Bacterial small subunit ribosomal RNA", at positions 377 to 524 of the family's 1533-position model. The record is from RNAcentral. Lineage: Bacteria; Bacillati; Bacillota; Bacilli; Caryophanales; Bacillaceae.
CCAGGGGAGCUGAGGGCACGCCGCGUGAACGAUGAAGGUUUUCGGAUCGUAAAGUUCUGUUAUGAGGGAAGAACACGUGCCGUUCGAAUAGGGCGGCACCUUGCACGGUACCUCACGAGAAAGCCCCGGUAUAACUACGUGCCACCAGCCGCGGUAAU